This 470-nucleotide ribosomal RNA is filed under the name Poteriostomum ratzii. RNAcentral's name for it is "partial large subunit ribosomal RNA". The record is from RNAcentral. Lineage: Eukaryota; Metazoa; Nematoda; Chromadorea; Rhabditida; Strongylidae.
UAAGUUUAUAUUUGUUUAUUAAUUAGUAUUGCAUACUGUUUAAAGAAAAUUUUAUAAUUAUAAAAAAUAAAAUUAAAAGGUAGAGGUUAUAAAUUUUUUAUUGUUUCAUAAUAAAAAAUAUAUAAUUUAGUGUUGAAAUGUCGACUUUUAAGAUAUUUGUUUAAGAAAUAUGUUUAUUAGAAAUUUAUAAAAUUGUAUUUAUGUUGGGUAAAAAGUAAAAGUUGAAGUAUUUUUUUGUUUAGUUUUAUAACUGUUUAUAAAAUUUUGUAUAAGUAAGAUAAAUGUGUUAAAAUAAUUAUUAAUAUUAUAAUAAUUAAAUUGUUUUAAUAUUAGUAGCUAAAUAAAUUUAAUUUGUGGACUGUGAUAUAAUAUAAUAACUAAAUAAUUAAUCAAAUGUUUAUUAAAGACUUAGACUUUAUAUUAAAGUUUGCUUCUGCCCAAUGAUUAUAUUUAAAUGGCACUCUUAGCGU